AGAGUUUGAUCCUGGCUCAGAUUGAACGCUGGCGGCGUGCCUAACACAUGCAAGUCGAGCGGUAACGCGGGAGCAAUCCUGGCAACGAGCGGCGAACGGGUGAGUAAUGCUUCGGAAUCUACCCAGUAGUGGGGAAUAACCAACCGAAAGGUUGGCUAAUGCCGCAUACGACCUACGGGUGAAAGCAGGGGAUCGUAAGACCUUGCGCUAUUGGAUGAGCCGAAGUCGGAUUAGCUAGUCGGUAGGGUAACGGCCUACCAAGGCGACAAUCCGUAGCUGGUCUGAGAGGACGACCAGCCACACUGGGACUGAGACACGGCCCAGACCCCUACGGGAGGCAGCAGUGGGGAAUAUUGGACAAUGGGGGCAACCCUGAUCCAGCGACGCCGCGUGUGUGAAGAAGGCCUGCGGGUUGUAAAGCACUUUUAGUGGGGAUGAAAAGCUCAGGGCUAAUACCUCUGGGUCUUGACCUAACCCACAGAAAAAGCACCGGCUAACUCUGUGCCAGCAGCCGCGGUAAU
RNAcentral lists this ribosomal RNA (521 nucleotides) under uncultured soil bacterium. RNAcentral's name for it is "bacterial SSU rRNA". It matches the Rfam family "Bacterial small subunit ribosomal RNA", at positions 8 to 524 of the family's 1533-position model. The record is from RNAcentral.